Molecule: ribosomal RNA, 433 nt
Filed under: uncultured bacterium
Lineage: Bacteria
Description: partial 16S ribosomal RNA
Rfam family: Bacterial small subunit ribosomal RNA
Source: RNAcentral
AACGAACGCUGGCGGCAUGCCUAACACAUGCAAGUCGAACGAGACCUUCGGGUAUAGUGGCGCACGGGUGCGUAACGCGUGGGAACCUGCCAUUAGGUUCGGAAUAACUCCCCGAAAGGGGUGCUAAUACCGGAUAAUGUCUUCGGACCAAAGAUUUAUCGCCUUUGGAUGGGCCCGCGUUGGAUUCGCUAGUUGGUAGGGUAAAAGCCUACCAAGGCGACGAUCCAUAGCUGGUCUGAGAGGCUGAUCAGACACACUGGGACUGAGACACGGCCCAGACUCUUGCGGGAGGGAGCAGAGGGGAAUAUAGGAAAAUGGGCGAAAGCCUGAUCCAGCAAUGCCGCGUGAGUGAUGAAGGCCUGAGGGUUGUAAAGCUCUUUUACCCGUGAUGAUAAUGACGGUACCGGGAGAAUAAGCGCCGGCUAACUCCGUG